GUGAAUCAUCGAAUUUUUGAACGCAAAUUGCACUCUCUGGUAUUCCGGAGAGUAUGCCUGUUUGAGGGUCAGUUUAAAUAUAAAUCGGUGUGGUUGCUGAUUUCUGCGGUGACGUACCGGAUUUGGGUCGUCUUGCCUUUGGUUAAGUGACCUAAAACUUUGCAUGAUUUUUUCGAACGUAUUUAAAUGAUUAUACGUAGGUUUGCGAUAUCGAGAACUAGGUGCGGAAAUCCUCAUGAUUUGCGCUUAUAAUGUUUCA
Molecule: unclassified non-coding RNA, 259 nt
Filed under: Glomeraceae sp.
Lineage: Eukaryota; Fungi; Glomeromycota; Glomeromycetes; Glomerales; Glomeraceae
Description: partial contains 5.8S ribosomal RNA and internal transcribed spacer 2
Rfam family: 5.8S ribosomal RNA (bases 1-71)
Source: RNAcentral